RNAcentral lists this non-coding RNA (24 nucleotides) under Arabidopsis thaliana (thale cress). Lineage: Eukaryota; Viridiplantae; Streptophyta; Magnoliopsida; Brassicales; Brassicaceae. The record is from RNAcentral.
AGCCUCUAAGUUGUUGUAGGUAUC